Molecule: ribosomal RNA, 635 nt
Filed under: uncultured delta proteobacterium
Lineage: Bacteria; Deltaproteobacteria
Description: bacterial SSU rRNA
Rfam family: Bacterial small subunit ribosomal RNA
Source: RNAcentral
UGGCGUACGGGUGAGUAACGCGUGGGUAAUCUACCUCUGAAUCGGGGAUAACCCGCCGAAAGGCGAGCUAAUACCGGAUAAUAUCUAUAAAACCUCGGUUUUAAAGAUCAAAGGUGGUCUCUACAUGUAAGCUACUGUUUGGAGAUGAGCCCGCGUACCAUUAGCUUGUUGGUAGGGUAAUGGCCUACCAAGGCUUCGAUGGUUAGCUGGUCUGAGAGGAUGAUCAGCCACACUGGAACUGACACACGGUCCAGACUCCUACGGGAGGCAGCAGUGAGGAAUUUUGCGCAAUGGGGGAAACCCUGACGCAGCAACGCCGCGUGAGUGAUGAAGGCUUUCGGGUCGUAAAGCUCUGUCAAGUGGGAAGAAUAUGCUUGAUGUUAAUACCAUCUUGCACUGACGGUACCACUGAAGGAAGCACCGGCUAACUCCGUGCCAGCAGCCGCGGUAAUACGGGGGGUGCAAGCGUUAUUCGGAAUUAUUGGGCGUAAAGGGCGCGUAGGCGGUCUCUUAAGUCAGAUGUGAAAGCCCGGGGCUUAACCCCGGAAGUGCAUUUGAAACUAAGGGACUUGAGUAUGGGAGAGGGAAGUGGAAUUCCUGGUGUAGAGGUGAAAUUCGUAGAUAUCAGGAGGAAC